This 1422-nucleotide ribosomal RNA is filed under the name Bacillus pumilus. RNAcentral describes it as "bacterial SSU rRNA". It matches the Rfam family "Bacterial small subunit ribosomal RNA". Lineage: Bacteria; Bacillati; Bacillota; Bacilli; Caryophanales; Bacillaceae. The record is from RNAcentral.
UGCAAGUCGAGCGGACAGAAGGGAGCUUGCUCCCGGAUGUUAGCGGCGGACGGGUGAGUAACACGUGGGUAACCUGCCUGUAGAACUGGGAUAACUCCGGGAAACCGGAGCUAAUACCGGAUAGUUCCUUGAACCGCAUGGUUCAAGGAUGAAAGACGGUUUCGGCUGUCACUUACAGAUGGACCCGCGGCGCAUUAGCUAGUUGGUGGGGUAAUGGCUCACCAAGGCGACGAUGCGUAGCCGACCUGAGAGGGUGAUCGGCCACACUGGGACUGAGACACGGCCCAAACUCCUACGGGAGGCAGCAGUAGGGAAUCUUCCGCAAUGGACGAAAGUCUGACGGACCAACGCCGCGUGAGUGAUGAAGGUUUUCGGAUCGUAAAGCUCUGUUGUUAGGGAAGAACAAGUGCGAGAGUAACUGCUCGCACCUUGACGGUACCUAACCAGAAAGCCACGGCUAACUACGUGCCACCAGCCGCGGUAAUACGUAGGUGGCAAGCGUUGUCCGGAAUUAUUGGGCGUAAAGGGCUCGCAGGCGGUUUCUUAAGUCUGAUGUGAAAGCCCCCGGCUCAACCGGGGAGGGUCAUUGGAAACUGGGAAACUUGAGUGCAGAAGAGGAGAGUGGAAUUCCACGUGUAGCGGUGAAAUGCGUAGAGAUGUGGAGGAACACCAGUGGCGAAGGCGACUCUCUGGUCUGUAACUGACGCUGAGGAGCGAAAGCGUGGGGAGCGAACAGGAUUAGAUACCCUGGUAGUCCACGCCGUAAACGAUGAGUGCUAAGUGUUAGGGGGUUUCCGCCCCUUAGUGCUGCAGCUAACGCAUUAAGCACUCCGCCUGGGGAGUACGGUCGCAAGACUGAAACUCAAAGGAAUUGACGGGGGCCCGCACAAGCGGUGGAGCAUGUGGUUUAAUUCGAAGCAACGCGAAGAACCUUACCAGGUCUUGACAUCCUCUGACAACCCUAGAGAUAGGGCUUUCCCUUCGGGGACAGAGUGACAGGUGGUGCAUGGUUGUCGUCAGCUCGUGUCGUGAGAUGUUGGGUUAAGUCCCGCAACGAGCGCAACCCUUGAUCUUAGUUGCCAGCAUUUAGUUGGGCACUCUAAGGUGACUGCCGGUGACAAACCGGAGGAAGGUGGGGAUGACGUCAAAUCAUCAUGCCCCUUAUGACCUGGGCUACACACGUGCUACAAUGGACAGAACAAAGGGCUGCGAGACCGCAAGGUUUAGCCAAUCCCAUAAAUCUGUUCUCAGUUCGGAUCGCAGUCUGCAACUCGACUGCGUGAAGCUGGAAUCGCUAGUAAUCGCGGAUCAGCAUGCCGCGGUGAAUACGUUCCCGGGCCUUGUACACACCGCCCGUCACACCACGAGAGUUUGCAACACCCGAAGUCGGUGAGGUAACCUUUAUGGAGCCAGCCGCCGAAG